ACGUAUCUCUGACGGCGAGGGUGGGCCCUGCUCCGGACCGAAAGGCCGUGCAGCGGGCCCGCCCGACCCGCUCAACCUUUGCAAACCCCACUGUGCACUUUUGUCGGCAAAGGGCCCCCGUGGCCCCGAGCCGGAUCACAAACGCUUACUUUACGAGAACGAUGCGUGGCCGCUGCGCCGCCCAAACUUUAA
This 192-nucleotide unclassified non-coding RNA is filed under the name uncultured Trechisporales. Its description in RNAcentral is "sequence contains ITS1". The record is from RNAcentral. Lineage: Eukaryota; Fungi; Basidiomycota; Agaricomycetes; Trechisporales.